GUGAGGAAUAUUGGACAAUGGGCGCAAGCCUGAUCCAGCCAUGCCGCGUGCAGGAAGACGCAUCUAUGGUGUGUAAACUGCUUUUGUACGGGAAGAAACACUCCCUCGUGAGGGAGCUUGACGGUACCGUAAGAAUAAGGAUCGGCUAACUCCGUGCCAGCAGCCGCGGUAAUACGGAGGAACCAAGCGUUAUCCGGAAUCAUUGGGUUUAAAGGGGCCGUAGGCGGUUUAAUAAGUCAGUGGUGAAAGCCCAUCGCUCAACGAUGGAACGGCCAUUGAUACUGUUAGACUUGAAUUACAAGGAAGUAACUAGAAUAUGUAGUGUAGCGGUGAAAUGCUUAGAUAUUACAUGGAAUACCAAUUGCGAAGGCAGGUUACUACUUGUGGAUUGACGCUGAUGGACGAAAGCGUGGGGAGCGAACAGGAUUAGAAACCCCUGUAGUCC
This 445-nucleotide ribosomal RNA is filed under the name uncultured bacterium. RNAcentral describes it as "bacterial SSU rRNA". It matches the Rfam family "Bacterial small subunit ribosomal RNA", at positions 354 to 796 of the family's 1533-position model. The record is from RNAcentral.